This 254-nucleotide ribosomal RNA is filed under the name uncultured bacterium. Its description in RNAcentral is "partial 16S ribosomal RNA". It matches the Rfam family "Bacterial small subunit ribosomal RNA", at positions 524 to 776 of the family's 1533-position model. The record is from RNAcentral.
UACGGAGGGUGCAAGCGUUAUCCGGAUUCACUGGGUUUAAAGGGUGCGUAGGAGGGCAGGUAAGUCAGUGGUGAAAUCCUGGGGCUUAACCCCAGAACUGCCGUUGAUACUAUCGGUCUUGAAUAUCGUGGAGGUAAGCGGAAUAUGUCAUGUAGCGGUGAAAUGCUUAGAGAUGACAUAGAACACCAAUUGCGAAGGCAGCUUACUACCCGUCUUAUUGACUCUGAGGCACGAAAGCGUGGGGAUCAAACAGG